Molecule: transfer RNA, 75 nt
Filed under: Candidatus Pacearchaeota archaeon
Lineage: Archaea; Nanobdellati
Description: tRNA-Met
Rfam family: tRNA
About the family: Transfer RNA (tRNA) molecules are approximately 80 nucleotides in length. Their secondary structure includes four short double-helical elements and three loops (D, anti-codon, and T loops).
Source: RNAcentral
AGCAGUGUGGAGGAGCUUGGAGUCCUCACCGGGCCCAUAACCCGGGGAUCAUUGGUUCAAAUCCAAUCACUGCUA